This 373-nucleotide ribosomal RNA is filed under the name uncultured organism. Its description in RNAcentral is "partial 16S ribosomal RNA". It matches the Rfam family "Bacterial small subunit ribosomal RNA", at positions 527 to 896 of the family's 1533-position model. The record is from RNAcentral.
GUAGGUGGCAAGCGUUGUCCGGAAUUAUUGGGCGUAAAGCGCGCGCAGGUGGUUCUUUAAGUCUGAUGUGAAAGCCCCCGGCUCAACCGGGGAGGGUCAUUGGAAACUGGGGAACUUGAGUGCAGGAGAGGAAAGUGGAAUUCCACGUGUAGCGGUGAAAUGCGUAGAUAUGUGGAGGAACACCAGUGGCGAAGGCGACUUUCUGGCCUGUAACUGACACUGAGGCGCGAAAGCGUGGGGAGCAAACAGGGAUUAGAUACCCUGGUAGUCCACGCCGUAAACGAUGAGUGCUAAGUGCUGGGGGGGUUUCCGCCCCCUCAGUGCUGCAGCUAACGCAUUAAGCACUCCGCCUGGGAGUACGGUCGCAAGACUG